GAAUGAGUUUCUGUCUACAUGGUGCCCUCCAAAAGCCUGGCAUCCUGUCCAGGGUUUACCCCCCUCUCAGCCUAUUAUUGCAGAGAGAGGGU
Long non-coding RNA from Thalassophryne amazonica, 92 nucleotides. RefSeq lists it as uncharacterized. NCBI's taxonomy places the organism in Eukaryota, Metazoa, Chordata, Actinopteri, Batrachoidiformes, Batrachoididae. The record is from RefSeq and is a predicted model, not a curated record. The transcript has 3 exons.